Molecule: long non-coding RNA, 300 nt
Organism: Myotis davidii
Lineage: Eukaryota; Metazoa; Chordata; Mammalia; Chiroptera; Vespertilionidae
Exons: 2
Source: RefSeq, a predicted model, not a curated record
CGAAGAAUGGUACACAGGUCGGACUCGCGUUAAACAUGAAUGACUCCGUAUGGAACAUAAACAUGGAGUGUCCCCCAAGAAUGGUACACAGGUCGGACUCCCGAUAAACAUGAAUGACUCCGUAUGGAACAUAAACAUGGAGUGUCCCCCAAGAAUGGUACACAGGUCAGACUCCCGAUAAACAUGAAUGACUCUGUAUGGAACAUAAACAUGGAGUGUCCCCCAAGAAAGGUACAUAGAGGUCAGACUCCCAAUUAACAUGAAUGACUCUCUAUGGAAUAUAAACAUGGAGUGUCCCCC